ACUGUUGCAGACGAUGAGAAUGUGGACCAGAUGAAUUGGACGACAAUGUGUGGGCGUGAAAACAUGAACGGGAAUCUCCUAACAUUCAGGUCGGAGAUGGCGAAAACCCCAGCAAACUCUCGCCGUAAUAACGAACUGACCAAAUUUUAGCUAGGACUAAUUUCUGCAGCAAUGGAAAAUCUCUGGCUAGCUGCAGCUAGUAAUUUUGUUUAGUCGUAAACAUGGAGUCAGUAUAUUUUUAAUGUUUAUGCUAAAAUUAUAUUUAAACAUCAAUAUAGACACAUUUUUCAUUGUGUAGUUUUAUUUACAUUAUUAUUUCUCUGCCAAAAGCUCAUAAAAACUGUUACAAAAGAGUAAUGGAGAAAUAAAACGAAAUUCUAAAGU
Molecule: long non-coding RNA, 384 nt
Organism: Physella acuta
Lineage: Eukaryota; Metazoa; Mollusca; Gastropoda; Physidae
Source: RefSeq, a predicted model, not a curated record